GUGCAGCGCGCCUAGGGAUCCGGUCGGACACGACGCAGGACCGAGAGGUGCAAGCCGGUCGAAAUGGCGCAUUGCCGACAUAGACCGGUGACACGGCGGGACAAAAACCCGGGAGAC
Molecule: small RNA, 117 nt
Filed under: Labrenzia sp.
Lineage: Bacteria; Pseudomonadati; Pseudomonadota; Alphaproteobacteria; Hyphomicrobiales; Stappiaceae
Description: Guanidine-I sequence
Rfam family: Guanidine-I riboswitch aptamer
About the family: This family represents a conserved RNA structure found upstream of the ykkC and yxkD genes in Bacillus subtilis and related genes in other bacteria. The function of this family is unclear although it has been suggested that it may function to switch on efflux pumps and detoxification systems in response to harmful environmental molecules.
Source: RNAcentral